RNAcentral lists this transfer RNA (69 nucleotides) under Ictidomys tridecemlineatus (thirteen-lined ground squirrel). RNAcentral's name for it is "Spermophilus tridecemlineatus (thirteen-lined ground squirrel) tRNA". It matches the Rfam family "tRNA". Rfam says of the family: Transfer RNA (tRNA) molecules are approximately 80 nucleotides in length. Their secondary structure includes four short double-helical elements and three loops (D, anti-codon, and T loops). The record is from Rfam by way of RNAcentral. Lineage: Eukaryota; Metazoa; Chordata; Mammalia; Rodentia; Sciuridae.
GGGGCUGUAGCUCAGUGGCAGAGCAUUUGCCUCACAUGUAUAAGGCCCUGGGUUUGAUCUUCAGCACCA